RNAcentral lists this ribosomal RNA (124 nucleotides) under uncultured bacterium. RNAcentral describes it as "partial 16S ribosomal RNA". The record is from RNAcentral.
GCCGGGGUUUCUUUACCAGGUACUGUCAUUAUCAUCCCUGGCGAAAGAGCUUUACGACCCUAGGGCCUUCAUCACUCACGCGGCAUGGCUAGAUCAGGCUUGCGCCCAUUGUCUAAGAUUCCCC